GUGAAUCAUCGAAUUUUUGAACGCAAAUUGCACUCUCCGCGGAGAGUAUGCCUGUGUGAGGGUCAGCCUAUAAAAAAUCGACAACGUUGCUGUUGCGCGGGGGCGUUCGUCGGAAAUGGGGUUAUAUUAAAUCCGUUUGGGAUUGAAGCGACAUAAAAUUUUCGAUUUGGUUCCAUGAACGUUACGAAGAUUU
Molecule: unclassified non-coding RNA, 193 nt
Filed under: Glomeromycota sp.
Lineage: Eukaryota; Fungi; Glomeromycota
Description: partial contains 5.8S ribosomal RNA and internal transcribed spacer 2
Rfam family: 5.8S ribosomal RNA (bases 1-65)
Source: RNAcentral